GUCGCGGCCCGGGAGCCUCCCGGCGUCUCGGCCGCGCGCAGGUGCUCGAGGCUGCCCGGCGCGGGGCGCGCGCUGCUGGGACGGCGCCCGCAGCCUCCCGAGAACCGCUCCCGCCUGGUCUUCUCCCCAAGGGCGUGCCUGCCAAUUCACUGCAGUGACAUAGAAACUGCAGCGAAACCGGCUCACUGACGGGCCCCCCGCAAUCGGGGCAAGAGGAACCCCCAGAUGAGAAACGUUCCCGCCUGUCGCGAAGGCGCCACCUGGUGGGGACCGAAGGUUACCGAUGUGAAUGAAAACGGGUGGAAAGGGGGCCUGAACGCUUUUUAAGAUAGAAGUCAACAGAACUACUGUCUGAGAAAACCGGGAAAUUGGGAUCAAGCUUUUCUUUGAGCCAACCUAACUGCACCUGUGAGUUUUCUCCUGCUAGAAUCUAAUUGCUUUGUUCAGAAUCACUUGUUCAAAAAUAAUAGGCUGGCCUAUCAGAAAAUGUCCCCCUGCUCUGCGGCAGGUGGUCAAACAGCUCGCUACAGCUGAUACUCUUGAUGCAAAUGGCAGCAUGUGACAUCUGUGGGCGUCCUUCCUCCCAACCCUUAAACACAGCCCAGCUGUGAGAAAAAUACCCAAGUCUGAAUGGGGGACAUACUGCAAACAUCUGCCGAAUGAUCAAGCGGUACUCUGCAGAACCAUCCAGAUCGACAGACAGAGAAACUGCCGGAAGCAGAAUGGCAGGACACAGACGGACGAGCCUGUCAUGUGGAACUCUGAAUAGGACCCAACUGGAAAACGACCCGUCAGGCCAAAUGGAAGGACACUAGAAUAAUUUUUGGAUACAGAAGAGCCUGGCAAGCUACCCGUGGCGUAUUCGAUAUGCCAAAACAAUAAGUAUCUCAAUGAGAGACGUUACUGGUGCCCGCUCUAACAAAUCGAUGAACAACGGGAUGACAGUGACAGUGACAGAACAGUAAUGUAUAUCUGAACUAAUGUA
Long non-coding RNA from Sorex araneus (European shrew), 985 nucleotides. RefSeq lists it as uncharacterized. The record is from RefSeq and is a predicted model, not a curated record. NCBI's taxonomy places the organism in Eukaryota, Metazoa, Chordata, Mammalia, Eulipotyphla, Soricidae. The transcript has 3 exons.